CCUACGGAGGACAGCAGUGAGGAAUAUUGGUCAAUGGACGAGAGUCUGAACCAGCCAAGUAGCGUGAAGGAUGACUGCCCUAUGGGUUGUAAACUUCUUUUAUAUGGGAAUAAAAUGUUCCACGUGUGGGAUUUUGUAUGUACCAUAUGAAUAAGGAUCGGCUAACUCCGUGCCAGCAGCCGCGGUAAUACGGAGGAUCCGAGCGUUAUCCGGAUUUAUUGGGUUUAAAGGGAGCGUAGGUGGAUUGUUAAGUCAGUUGUGAAAGUUUGCGGCUCAACCGGAAAAUUGCAGUUGAAACUGGCAGGCUAGAGUACAGUAGAGGUGGGCGGAAUUCGUGGUGUAGCGGUGAAAUGCUUAGAGAUCACGAAGAACUCCGAUUGCGAAGGCAGCUCACUGGACUGCAACUGACACUGAGGCUCGAAAGUGUGGGUAUCAAACAGGAUUAGAUACCCCGGUAGUC
Molecule: ribosomal RNA, 460 nt
Filed under: uncultured bacterium
Lineage: Bacteria
Description: partial 16S ribosomal RNA
Rfam family: Bacterial small subunit ribosomal RNA
Source: RNAcentral